UCCUGACCAGACUGCGCGGAUGCGCAGGCUGGUCUGGAUCCAUGCUGGUCGCAUACCCACUAUGUUGGUUUUCCCAUGGCACGGCUCAAUUAUGUUUUCUACACGAUUAAUAUGAAAUUAGAAACGCAUUAGAGAAAGUAGUGUAUGUGGUCUGACUUAAAAUACUUGAGAAGUGUUUUAGUGGUAUGAGAUAACUUUUUAAGUGGUAUUUCAAUGCACAUCUUGAACAACUUCAUUUUCCAUAUAUGGACAUUCCAAUGUCCAUCAUCUUAAUAUAAACACUUGAACCUUUAAAUAGCAGGAGCCGGCUGUUUGCAAAUUUCAUAGUACUAGUAUUAUAGCGGAAUUAAUGAAGAAAACAUUAUUGCAAACAUAAUACAGAGAGCUUCUAAGUGAUAAAAAUAUUCAGACCAAAAUGUGUUCCAUCAAGGUAAUGCUUCUGUUUGGACUGGUUAUACUGGCGGCUCUUAUGGAGAAUGGACAAUGUCGGAGACGCCAACUGCUGUGCAGAAUGAACAGACGGCGGCUUGGUACAUGCACCGAUAUUGUAACGAGAACAGGUGGUCGUUCUCCAACGGCUGGACGGUGUGCCCAAAGUGGUGGAGUAUGUACGAUACUCCAAUCAGGAAGAAGAAAUAGAUGUGAUUGUGUCUCACCACGUAUACAGCUAUAGACUUCGUGUGCAUCUUUAUAUUCAGUUUGAUUCAUGUUUUAUAUAUCGGAGUAAAGGUCAUAAAACAAUUACGCUUUUCUUCUUGUCAACAAUAUGCCAGUCUUCAAGAUGGAACUUUUUAACAUGGCAACGUAUAAUUGUUUUGGAUCUUUUUUGAUAGUUCAUCACAAAUAUAUGGCUAAAUGCAGCAGCAUUUUCAAGUAACGUAUGCAUUUUGUGAAAACAAUACUUUUAUAAAUCAUGUAGUCUUUUAAUUUCACAACAUAAUUUUUUUUUUCAGUUUUGUGAAAGGUAUAAGAGUAACGCUGUACAAUAGGGGGAUCAAUAAUCUAGAUAUUGCACUGUCAUUGUAAGUGAGAGAGCUCUACAUAAAACUGGACCAUUCAUCCCAAUAAUAACAUGUUCUAAAAUCUUAAAUCUUUCCUAACUUAUUUUUUUACUCAACCAAUUGUACUAACAUUGUGAACUAAACAUACCCCAAGUCAACAUGUGUAACAGAAGAUAAAACUAAAAAAGAUGAAAACACGUUUUUGAAAAGGGACACAAUUCCCAUUUUCAUAACUUUGAAUUGAUUAUGUGCAUGAACAUUGUAACAUAUGUAUGUAUUAUAUUAUAUACGGUAAUAACUUUAUUAAACAGAGGAAGAACAAUUC
Long non-coding RNA from Mercenaria mercenaria, 1326 nucleotides. RefSeq lists it as uncharacterized. Lineage: Eukaryota; Metazoa; Mollusca; Bivalvia; Venerida; Veneridae. The transcript has 2 exons. The record is from RefSeq and is a predicted model, not a curated record.